Molecule: ribosomal RNA, 322 nt
Filed under: uncultured eukaryote
Lineage: Eukaryota
Description: partial 18S ribosomal RNA
Rfam family: Eukaryotic small subunit ribosomal RNA
Source: RNAcentral
CCCUUAGAUGUUCUGGGCCGCACGCGUGCUACACUGAGUGGAUCAGCGGGUCAGGUUGCGCGAAAGUGUUUCCUAAUCUUGAAAUCCGCUCGUGAUGGGGAUUGACGGUUGCAAUUUUCCGUCAUGAACGAGGAAUACCUUGUAAGCGCGGGUCAUCAUCCCGCGCUGAAUACGCUCCUGCCCUUUGUACACACCGCCCGUCGCUCCUACCGAUUGAGUGGUCCGGUGAGGCUUUGGGAUCUGAGCAAAGAGAGCGUUUCGCUCGUUUUGCCCGGAAAACUCAGUCGAACCUUAUCAUUUAGAGGAAGGAGAAGUCGUAACA